This 742-nucleotide ribosomal RNA is filed under the name uncultured bacterium. Its description in RNAcentral is "bacterial SSU rRNA". It matches the Rfam family "Bacterial small subunit ribosomal RNA", at positions 8 to 796 of the family's 1533-position model. The record is from RNAcentral.
AGAGUUUGAUCAUGGCUCAGAACGAACGCUGGCGGCAGGCUUAACACAUGCAAGUCGAACGCCCCGCAAGGGGAGUGGCAGACGGGUGAGUAACACGUGGGAACGUGCCCUAAGGUACGGAACAACUCCGGGAAACUGGAGCUAAUACCGUAUGUGCCCGAGAGGGGAAAGAUUUAUCGCCUUGGGAUCGGCCCGCGUCUGAUUAGCUAGUUGGUAGGGUAAUGGCCUACCAAGGCUACGAUCAGUAGCUGGUCUGGGAGGAUGACCAGCCACACUGGGACUGAGACACGGCCCAGACUCCUACGGGAGGCAGCAGUGGGGAAUAUUGGACAAUGGGCGAAAGCCUGAUCCAGCCAUGCCGCGUGAGUGAUGAAGGCCUUAGGGUUGUAAAGCUCUUUCGGCGGGGACGAUAAUGACGGUACCCGCAGAAGAAGCCCCGGCUAACUUCGUGCCAGCAGCCGCGGUAAUACGAAGGGGGCUAGCGUUGUUCGGAAUUACUGGGCGUAAAGCGUAUGCAGGCGGAUCGUUAAGUCGGGGGUGAAAUCCCGAGGCUCAACCUCGGAACUGCCUUCGAUACUGGCGAUCUUCGAGUCCGGGAGAGGUGAGUGGAACUCCGAGUGUAGAGGUGAAAUUCGUAGAUAUUCGGAAGAACACCAGUGGCGAAGGCGGCUCACUGGCCCGGGUACUGACGCUGAGAUACGAAAGCGUGGGGAGCAAACAGGAUUAGAUACCCUAGUAGUCC